Molecule: long non-coding RNA, 451 nt
Organism: Mytilus californianus (California mussel)
Lineage: Eukaryota; Metazoa; Mollusca; Bivalvia; Mytilida; Mytilidae
Exons: 2
Source: RefSeq, a predicted model, not a curated record
UGUUGAGUGACCAUUUCUAGCUGGUAUAAUUUUGCAGUGGUAAUACAGACAUUCUCAUGUAUUGAUAAAAUAUAAUAAAAUGCUCCGCUGGGCGCAGCUUGAUACGACCACAGAGGUCGAACCCUGAACAGUUGGGGCAAGUAUGGACACAACAUUCAAGCUUGAUACAGCACUGAAUUUGGAUUGUGAUUAAAUAUUUGACACAGCAUAGGUUUCUGACACAGAAUGAAUGUGGUCUAAGAACUUAAAAAUUUUUAAUUUACCUAUUCAAACCAUAUCAUUAUUAUUUGCUUUUAUAUAUAAAUCAGAAAUAACCAAUUUAAAAUGGAAAAUUUUAUAGAAAAAAAAAGGAAAAAAAAAUCCCCCCCAAAUUUUUUGAACCCCCUUAUCAUUCAUCACCCCCAAACUCAAUCCCAGCCUUACCUUUGUGGUAUGGUACCUUGCAGUACAA